Molecule: ribosomal RNA, 253 nt
Filed under: uncultured bacterium
Lineage: Bacteria
Description: partial 16S ribosomal RNA
Rfam family: Bacterial small subunit ribosomal RNA
Source: RNAcentral
UACGAAGGGGGCUAGCGUUGUUCGGAAUUACUGGGCGUAAAGGGCGCGUAGGCGGUGUGUCAAGUCAGGCGUGAAAGCCCCGGGCUCAACCUGGGAACUGCGCUUGAGACUGGCACGCUCGAGUUCGGGAGAGGAUGGCGGAAUUCCCAGUGUAGAGGUGAAAUUCGUAGAUAUUGGGAAGAACACCGAUGGCGAAGGCAGCCAUCUGGACCGACACUGACGCUGAGGCGCGAAAGCGUGGGGAGCAAACAGG